This 207-nucleotide long non-coding RNA is filed under the name Lathyrus oleraceus (garden pea). RNAcentral describes it as "Pisum sativum (pea) long non-coding RNA (PSAT_LNC002714)". The record is from RNAcentral. Lineage: Eukaryota; Viridiplantae; Streptophyta; Magnoliopsida; Fabales; Fabaceae.
UAAAACCUAAAUCCACCAAAGCGGCUGGUUGAUAUUAAGGAUGUUCGAACCGGUUCAUGUACCGUUAAUAUCAAUGGAACUUGGGUGUCGAUAAGGUGAAAACCUAAAUCCACCAAAAUGGAUGAUUGAUAUUAAGGAUACAAUGAGCUUUCCCACGACCUUUGUUUGGUGUGCCUUGCUUGAUCCUUGAGUGUGAUUGUUGCAUUC